Molecule: non-coding RNA, 27 nt
Filed under: Bombyx mori (domestic silkworm)
Lineage: Eukaryota; Metazoa; Arthropoda; Insecta; Lepidoptera; Bombycidae
Source: RNAcentral
UGUUCCUGUACAAACUGCCGCGAGACC